GACGAACGCUGGCGGCGUGCUUAACACAUGCAAGUCGAACGGAAAGGCCUGCUUUCCCUUGUGGAUUGCGGGUACUCGAGUGGCGAACGGGUGAGUAACACGUGAGUGAUCUGCCCCCAACUUGGGUAUAAGCCUGGGAAACUGGGUCUAAUUCCCGAUAGGACUGCAGGGUGGUGCCGGUGGUGGAAAACGAUUUUCUAGUGGUUGGGGAUGAGCUCGCGGCCUAUCAGCUUGUUGGUGGGGUAAUGGCCUACCAAGGCGGCGACGGGUAGCCGGCCUGAGAGGGUGGACGGCCGCAUUGGGACUGGGAUACGGCCCAGACUCCUGCGGGAGGCAGCAGUGGGGAAUAUUGCACAAUGGGCGGAAGCCUGAUGCAGCGACGCCGCGUGGGGGAUGACGGCCUUCGGGUUGUAAACUCCUUUCGACCGCGAGGAAGCCACCUGGUUGGAAGGGUGGUGACGGUAGUGGUAGAAGAAGCACCGGCUAACUACGUG
RNAcentral lists this ribosomal RNA (494 nucleotides) under uncultured bacterium. RNAcentral describes it as "partial 16S ribosomal RNA". It matches the Rfam family "Bacterial small subunit ribosomal RNA", at positions 28 to 507 of the family's 1533-position model. The record is from RNAcentral.